UCGAGAAUUUUUCUCAAUGGGCGAAAGCCUGAAGGAGCGACGCCGCGUGGGGGAUGAAUGGCUUCGGCCCGUAAACCCCUGUCAUUUGCGAACAAAUUGACUCACUUAACACGUGUGUCAUUGAUUGUAGCGGAAGAGGAAGGGACGGCUAACUCUGUGCCAGCAGCCGCGGUAAUACAGAGGUCCCAAGCGUUGUUCGGAUUCACUGGGCGUAAAGGGUGCGUAGGCGGUCGGGUAAGUCUGACGUGAAAUCUCCGGGCCUAACCCGGAAACUGCGUUGGAUACUGUCUGGCUAGAGGAAUGGAGGGGAGACUGGAAUACUUGGUGUAGCAGUGAAAUGCGUAGAUAUCAAGUGGAACACCAGUGGCGAAGGCGAGUCUCUGGACAUUUCCUGACGCUGAGGCACGAAAGCCAGGGGAGCAAACGGGAUUAGAUACCCCCGUAGUCC
This 448-nucleotide ribosomal RNA is filed under the name uncultured bacterium. RNAcentral describes it as "bacterial SSU rRNA". It matches the Rfam family "Bacterial small subunit ribosomal RNA", at positions 355 to 796 of the family's 1533-position model. The record is from RNAcentral.